UUGGUGAUGCUGUGGACACACAAAAGGG
Molecule: non-coding RNA, 28 nt
Filed under: Homo sapiens (human)
Lineage: Eukaryota; Metazoa; Chordata; Mammalia; Primates; Hominidae
Source: RNAcentral